This is a small nucleolar RNA of Cornus florida, 84 nucleotides long. RefSeq annotates it as small nucleolar RNA R160. The record is from RefSeq and is a predicted model, not a curated record. Lineage: Eukaryota; Viridiplantae; Streptophyta; Magnoliopsida; Cornales; Cornaceae. The transcript has a single exon.
UGUGAAGUGAUGAAGUUCUUUUAAGCCGAAGUUCAGUGUAGAACAUAUGUGUGUAUAAAUGGUCUUCAAAGUUCUAUGAUUGCU